CUUAAAGGUAUUACUUUAAUGAGCUUCGAGUUUGAUCUAAUCAAAUCCAGUUCUGUAGGUUUACUAGAUUAUGUCGGUUCAUUUUCUACCAGUCAAACUUCCAAGAUCAACUUGAUGGGCAUCAAUUUUUUCUCUAAAGAACUUCUUUCCAAAAGGAAUGCCCUACUGCUGAUGAGCGUCUUAUGUUCUUUAGCAUGAUAGAAUU
Molecule: long non-coding RNA, 205 nt
Filed under: Elaeis guineensis (African oil palm)
Lineage: Eukaryota; Viridiplantae; Streptophyta; Magnoliopsida; Arecales; Arecaceae
Description: long non-coding RNA (EGUI_LNC050998)
Source: RNAcentral